CUACGGGGCGCUCCAGUGGGGAAUUUUGCGCAAUGGGGGAAACCCUGACGCAGCAAUACCGCGUGAGUGAAGAAGGCCUUUGGGUCGUAAAGCUCUUUUCUUGGGGAAGAUAGUGACGGUACCCAAGGAAUAAGCACCGGCUAACUCCGUGCCAGCAGCCGCGGUAAUACGGAGGGUGCAAGCGUUGUUCGGAUUUACUGGGCGUAAAGGGCACGUAGGCGGCACAGCAAGUUAAGGGUGAAAUCCCGGGGCUCAACUCCGGAACUGCUCUUAAAACUGCUGAGCUAGAGAUAGUCAGAGGCGGGUGGAAUUCCAGGUGUAGAGGUGAAAUUCGUAGAUAUCUGGAGGAACACCGGUGGCGAAGGCGGCCCGCUGGGGCUAUUCUGACGCUAAGGUGCGAAAGCGUGGGGAGCAAACGGGAUUAGAUACCCUGGUAGUC
RNAcentral lists this ribosomal RNA (439 nucleotides) under uncultured bacterium. RNAcentral describes it as "partial 16S ribosomal RNA". It matches the Rfam family "Bacterial small subunit ribosomal RNA", at positions 339 to 795 of the family's 1533-position model. The record is from RNAcentral.